This 378-nucleotide unclassified non-coding RNA is filed under the name uncultured Chlamydiales bacterium. RNAcentral describes it as "contains 16S-23S intergenic spacer region". The record is from RNAcentral. Lineage: Bacteria; Pseudomonadati; Chlamydiota; Chlamydiia; Chlamydiales.
UCCCGGUUAACCCGGGCAGUCUCGCUAGAGUUCCCACCAUUACGUGCUGGCAACUAACGAUAAGGGUUGCGCUCGUUGCGGGACUUAACCCAACACCUCACGGCACGAGCUGACGACAGCCAUGCAGCACCUGUGUAGCAGUUCCGAAGAAAAACUCUAUUUCUAGAGCUGUCCACUACAUGUCAAGUCUGGGUAAGGUUCUUCGCGUUGCAUCGAAUUAAACCACAUGCUCCACUGCUUGUGCGGGUCCCCGUCAAUUCUUUUGAGUUUCACCCUUGCGAGCGUACUCCCCAGGCGGCAUACUUAUCGCGUUAGCUACGGCAAAGCCAGGGUUGAAGCUGGCUACACCAAGUAUGCAUCGUUUACGGCUAGGACUAC